This 586-nucleotide ribosomal RNA is filed under the name Phoma sp. 6260. RNAcentral describes it as "eukaryotic LSU rRNA". The stretch from base 145 to 298 matches the Rfam family "5.8S ribosomal RNA". Lineage: Eukaryota; Fungi; Ascomycota; Dothideomycetes; Pleosporales; Didymellaceae. The record is from RNAcentral.
UGCAUGUUAGCGUGUGAGCUUUGCCUACCAUCUCUUACCCAUGUCUUUUGAGUACCUUCGUUUCCUCGGCGGGUCCGCCCGCCGAUUGGACAAACUUAAACCCUUUGUAAUUGAAAUCAGCGUCUGAAAAAACAUAAUAGUUACAACUUUCAACAACGGAUCUCUUGGUUCUGGCAUCGAUGAAGAACGCAGCGAAAUGCGAUAAGUAGUGUGAAUUGCAGAAUUCAGUGAAUCAUCGAAUCUUUGAACGCACAUUGCGCCCCUUGGUAUUCCAUGGGGCAUGCCUGUUCGAGCGUCAUUUGUACCUUCAAGCUCUGCUUGGUGUUGGGUGUUUGUCUCGCCUUUGCGUGUAGACUCGCCUUAAAACAAUUGGCAGCCGGCGUAUUGAUUUCGGAGCGCAGUACAUCUCGCGCUUUGCACUCAUAACGACGACGUCCAAAAAGUACUUUUUACACUCUUGACCUCGGAUCAGGUAGGGAUACCCGCUGAACUUAAGCAUAUCUAGGCCGCGCGGAGAAGCAAUCAUUACCUAGAGUUGUUAGGCUUUUGCCUACCAUCUCUUACCCAUGUCUUUUGAGUACCUUCG